Molecule: ribosomal RNA, 427 nt
Filed under: uncultured bacterium
Lineage: Bacteria
Description: bacterial SSU rRNA
Rfam family: Bacterial small subunit ribosomal RNA
Source: RNAcentral
UAGGGAAUCUUCGGCAAUGGGCGAAAGCCUGACCGAGCAACGCCGCGUGAAUGAUGAAGGCCUUCGGGUUGUAAAAUUCUGUUAUAAGGGAAGAACGGCUUUAGUAGGAAAUGGCUAGAGUGUGACGGUACCUUAUGAGAAAGCCACGGCUAACUACGUGCCAGCAGCCGCGGUAAUACGUAGGUGGCAAGCGUUAUCCGGAAUUAUUGGGCGUAAAGAGCGCGCAGGUGGUUGAUUAAGUCUGAUGUGAAAGCCCACGGCUUAACCGUGGAGGGUCAUUGGAAACUGGUCGACUUGAGUGCAGAAGAGGGAAGUGGAAUUCCAUGUGUAGCGGUGAAAUGCGUAGAGAUAUGGAGGAACACCAGUGGCGAAGGCGGCUUCCUGGUCUGUAACUGACACUGAGGCGCGAAAGCGUGGGGAGCAAACA